AGGACGAACGCUGGCGGCGCGCUUAACACAUGCAAGUCGAACGGGGUCCUUCGGGGCCCAGUGGCGAACGGGUGCGUAACACGUGAGCAAUCUGCCUGGAGGAGGGGGAUAACCUCGGGAAACCGGGGCUAAUACCGCAUACGCUCUUUGGCUCUUCGGGGCUGGAGAGGAAAGGGGCUACGGCCUCGUCUCCAGAGGGGCUCGCGGCGUAUCAGCUAGUUGGUGAGGUAACGGCUCACCAAGGCGAUGACGCGGUAGGGGGUCUGA
This 267-nucleotide ribosomal RNA is filed under the name uncultured soil bacterium. RNAcentral's name for it is "partial 16S ribosomal RNA". It matches the Rfam family "Bacterial small subunit ribosomal RNA", at positions 26 to 295 of the family's 1533-position model. The record is from RNAcentral.